AUUGAACGCUGGCGGCAUGCUUUACACAUGCAAGUCGAACGGCAGCGCGGGCUUCGGCCUGGCGGCGAGUGGCGAACGGGUGAGUAAUGCAUCUGAACGUGCCCAGUAGGGGGGGAUAGCCCGGCGAAAGCCGUAUUAAUACCGCAUACUACCUGAGGGUGAAAGCGGGGGAGCGAAAGGCCGCGCGCUAUGGUAGCGGCCGAUGUCGGAUUAGCUAGUUGGUGGGGUAAAGGCUUACCAAGGCGGCGAUCCGUAGCUGGUCUGAGAGGACGAACAGCCACACGGGGAGUGAGACACGGCCCAGACUACUGAGGGAGGCCGCAGUGGCGAAUGUUAGACAAUGGGGGCGAAUAUGAUACAGCCAUGCCGCGUGUGGGACGACGGCCUUCGGGUUGUAAACCGCUUUUGUUCGGGAAGAAAUCCUCUGGGCUAAUACGAAGGGGGGAUGACGGUACCGGAAGAAUAAGCACCGGCUAACUACGUG
This 484-nucleotide ribosomal RNA is filed under the name uncultured bacterium. Its description in RNAcentral is "partial 16S ribosomal RNA". It matches the Rfam family "Bacterial small subunit ribosomal RNA", at positions 29 to 507 of the family's 1533-position model. The record is from RNAcentral.